AAAUUGAAGAGUUUGAUCAUGGCUCAGAUUGAACGCUGGCGGCAGGCCUAACACAUGCAAGUCGAACGGUAGCACAGAGAGCUUGCUCUCGGGUGACGAGUGGCGGACGGGUGAGUAAUGUCUGGGAAACUGCCUGAUGGAGGGGGAUAACUACUGGAAACGGUGGCUAAUACCGCAUAACGUCGCAAGACCAAAGAGGGGGACCUUCGGGCCUCUUGCCAUCAGAUGUGCCCAGAUGGGAUUAGCUAGUUGGUGAGGUAACGGCUCACCAAGGCGACGAUCCCUAGCUGGUCUGAGAGGAUGACCAGCCACACUGGAACUGAGAC
RNAcentral lists this ribosomal RNA (326 nucleotides) under Salmonella enterica subsp. enterica serovar Hartford. RNAcentral describes it as "bacterial SSU rRNA". It matches the Rfam family "Bacterial small subunit ribosomal RNA", at positions 1 to 325 of the family's 1533-position model. The record is from RNAcentral. Lineage: Bacteria; Pseudomonadati; Pseudomonadota; Gammaproteobacteria; Enterobacterales; Enterobacteriaceae.